AAGGGAUUGAGUAAGGAAUAGGCUUGGAAGAAGAAACUUGGAAAAUAUGGAUUCAUAUUCAAUGGUUGAUAUUACUCUGAACUGAAAGAUAUAAAGGAGAACCUUACUUUCAACAUAUGAUAUGUUCCUUGGAAGGUUUUGAUUUUCCAUGUACAUAGAAUAAAAUUAGGGGUUCAAAGUAAAUAAACAAGAAUUUGUAAAAAUAUCAUAUUAAAGAACAUCAACUUGAUAAUCAUGUAUGUGGUGCUAAUUCU
This 254-nucleotide long non-coding RNA is filed under the name Physcomitrium patens. Its description in RNAcentral is "long non-coding RNA (PPAT_LNC007070)". Lineage: Eukaryota; Viridiplantae; Streptophyta; Bryopsida; Funariales; Funariaceae. The record is from RNAcentral.